AACGUAGGAGACAAACGUUAUCCGGAGUUACUGGGCGUAAAGGGCGCGUAGGCGGUUCGUACAGUCAGACGUGAAAUUCCCGGGCUCAACCUGGGGGCUGCGUUUGAUACGUACGGGCUUGAGUUCGGAAGAGGGUCGUGGAAUUCCCAGUGUAGAGGUGAAAUUCGUAGAUAUUGGGAAGAACACCGGUGGCGAAGGCGGCGACCUGGUCCGAUACUGACGCUGAGGCGCGAAAGCGUGGGGAGCAAACAGG
This 253-nucleotide ribosomal RNA is filed under the name uncultured bacterium. Its description in RNAcentral is "partial 16S ribosomal RNA". It matches the Rfam family "Bacterial small subunit ribosomal RNA", at positions 524 to 776 of the family's 1533-position model. The record is from RNAcentral.